This 260-nucleotide ribosomal RNA is filed under the name uncultured Peptostreptococcus sp. RNAcentral describes it as "partial 16S ribosomal RNA". It matches the Rfam family "Bacterial small subunit ribosomal RNA", at positions 96 to 355 of the family's 1533-position model. The record is from RNAcentral. Lineage: Bacteria; Bacillati; Bacillota; Clostridia; Peptostreptococcales; Peptostreptococcaceae.
CGGCGGACGGGUGAGUAACGCGUGGGUAACCUGCCCUAUACACAUGGAUAACAUACUGAAAAGUUUACUAAUACAUGAUAAUAUAUAUUUACGGCAUCGUAGAUAUAUCAAAGUGUUAGCGGUAUAGGAUGGACCCGCGUCUGAUUAGCUAGUUGGUGGGGUAAAGGCCUACCAAGGCGACGAUCAGUAGCCGGUCUGAGAGGAUGAACGGCCACAUUGGAACUGAGACACGGUCCAAACUCCUACGGGAGGCAGCAGUC